GGAUUAGAUACCCUGGUAGUCCACGCCGUAAACGAUGUGUGCUAGCCGUUGGGAAACCUAGUUUUUCAGUGGCGCCGCUAACGCUUUAAGCACACCGCCUGGGGAGUACGGCCGCAAGGUUAAAACUCAAAGGAAUUGACGGGGACCCGCACAAGUGGUGGAGCAUGUGGUUUAAUUCGAGACAACGCGAAGAACCUUACCAGGGCUUGACAUGCCCGUCGCGGUUAGCAGAGAUGCUUUCCUUCAGCUAGGCUGGACGGUGCACAGGUGCUGCACGGCUGUCGUCAGCUCGUGCUG
Molecule: ribosomal RNA, 297 nt
Filed under: uncultured bacterium
Lineage: Bacteria
Description: partial 16S ribosomal RNA
Rfam family: Bacterial small subunit ribosomal RNA
Source: RNAcentral